CCGGUACGGGCUGUGGGGGAUG
This 22-nucleotide microRNA is filed under the name Sarcophilus harrisii (Tasmanian devil). RNAcentral's name for it is "Sha-Mir-150_3p* (star (passenger))". RNAcentral also lists the same sequence under 1 other name. Lineage: Eukaryota; Metazoa; Chordata; Mammalia; Dasyuromorphia; Dasyuridae. The record is from RNAcentral.